RNAcentral lists this long non-coding RNA (583 nucleotides) under Calidris pygmaea (Spoon-billed sandpiper). RNAcentral's name for it is "lncRNA (ENSCPGG00000002666.1)". Lineage: Eukaryota; Metazoa; Chordata; Aves; Charadriiformes; Scolopacidae. The record is from RNAcentral.
AGCACCUUUAAAGACAGAGAAAUGUCUGGAAUCACUGUUAAUUAUAACAGCCGCACUCUCCAUGUGAGCCUCAGACAUGCCUGUUCUCAGCAUCACCUCUCCAACGCAAUGCUUCUCCAAGAGCUAUUUGCUUCUCUGUGAAGCGGAAAAACUGGUCAGAUUUGGGUCUGAUCUGUAUUUCAGCCAUGCCUAGAGGGCCCACAGGGCCAGCAAAGGCACUGUGCCACAAGGAAGAGGUCUCCUGGCCUGAGCUCUCAAGGUUAAUGCGAUGGAGGAGAAGGAUGGCAACCAAAAUGGAAUCUGAAUAAAGGAGCAGAUUGAGCAACCAGCAGCAUGGAACAUCAUGGUGUCUUACCUACAGAAUGUGCUUCAGCAAAGGAAACUUGAGGCCAAAGGGAAGGAGACUGUAAAUGACAAAUGUGGAAAAAAAAAAAAAGCAAACACCUUCAUUACAUGGAAAAUGGAGGAGGGGAACACUGCACAUCUAACAAAAUUAAGGGCAAGGACAAAGAGAAGAGAGGGUUUCAAUUACUUUAACUUGCCGGAACGACACUCCCAUUACUGCCAGACUGUCUGGUUCUAA